GGGGCUACUCCAGCCCCAACAUCACCACUGCCAGCAACCAAUACUACAUCCCCGCCUCCAACAGCUGCCGCGACUCCGCCGCCUACUACUACUCCUUCCCCACCACCCGUUACCCCAUCAGCUCCUCCUCCUUCUACCACUCCAUCCCCUCCUCCUCCUUCCACUUCAUCACCUCCGCCUUCAUCCUCUGCCUCUCCACCUCCUCCGGCCACUGAAUCCCCACCCCCAUCAUCCUCAAAUCCUUCCCCUCCGCCGCCUUCCUCAUCAACACCAUCUCCGCCGCCGCCACCGAGGAGUCCCGGUACUGCAUCUCCACCAC
This 319-nucleotide long non-coding RNA is filed under the name Gossypium barbadense (sea-island cotton). RNAcentral describes it as "long non-coding RNA (GBAR_LNC023382)". Lineage: Eukaryota; Viridiplantae; Streptophyta; Magnoliopsida; Malvales; Malvaceae. The record is from RNAcentral.